RNAcentral lists this ribosomal RNA (2914 nucleotides) under Vibrio parahaemolyticus. RNAcentral describes it as "23S ribosomal RNA". It matches the Rfam family "Bacterial large subunit ribosomal RNA". Lineage: Bacteria; Pseudomonadati; Pseudomonadota; Gammaproteobacteria; Vibrionales; Vibrionaceae. The record is from RNAcentral.
GUUGUAUGGUUAAGUGACUAAGCGUACACGGUGGAUGCCUUGGCAGUCAGAGGCGAUGAAAGACGUAGUAACUUGCGAUAAGCCCAGAUUAGGUAGUAACAACCAUUUGAGUCUGGGAUUUCUGAAUGGGGAAACCCACUUACAUAAGUAAGUAUCGCUGCGUGAAUACAUAGCGCAGCGAGGCGAACCGGGGGAACUGAAACAUCUAAGUACCCCGAGGAAAAGAAAUCAACCGAGAUUCCGAAAGUAGCGGCGAGCGAAAUUGGACUAGCCCUUAAGCUUUACACGCGUUAGACGAACGGUCUGGAAAGUCCGACGAUACAGGGUGAUAGUCCCGUAGUUGACGACGUGUGUUCAGUGAAAUCGAGUAGGGCGGGACACGUGAUAUCCUGUCUGAAUAUGGGGGGACCAUCCUCCAAGGCUAAAUACUACUGACUGACCGAUAGUGAACCAGUACCGUGAGGGAAAGGCGAAAAGAACCCCUGUGAGGGGAGUGAAAUAGAACCUGAAACCGUGUACGUACAAGCAGUAGGAGCACCUUCGUGGUGUGACUGCGUACCUUUUGUAUAAUGGGUCAGCGACUUAUAUUCAGUGGCAAGGUUAACCAUCUAGGGGAGCCGUAGGGAAACCGAGUCUUAACUGGGCGUUCAGUCUCUGGAUAUAGACCCGAAACCAGGUGAUCUAGCCAUGGGCAGGUUGAAGGUUGAGUAACAUCAACUGGAGGACCGAACCGACUAAUGUUGAAAAAUUAGCGGAUGACUUGUGGCUAGGGGUGAAAGGCCAAUCAAACCUGGAGAUAGCUGGUUCUCCCCGAAAGCUAUUUAGGUAGCGCCUCGGACGAAUACUACUGGGGGUAGAGCACUGUUAAGGCUAGGGGGUCAUCCCGACUUACCAACCCUUUGCAAACUCCGAAUACCAGUAAGUACUAUCCGGGAGACACACGGCGGGUGCUAACGUCCGUCGUGGAGAGGGAAACAACCCAGACCGCCAGCUAAGGUCCCAAAUUACUACUAAGUGGGAAACGAUGUGGGAAGGCUCAGACAGCCAGGAUGUUGGCUUAGAAGCAGCCAUCAUUUAAAGAAAGCGUAAUAGCUCACUGGUCGAGUCGGCCUGCGCGGAAGAUGUAACGGGGCUAAGUAGUAAACCGAAGCUGCGGCAAUGCACUUUGUGCAUUGGGUAGGGGAGCGUUCUGUAAGCGGUUGAAGGUGUGUGGUAACGCAUGCUGGACGUAUCAGAAGUGCGAAUGCUGACAUGAGUAACGAUAAAGGGGGUGAAAAACCUCCUCGCCGGAAGACCAAGGGUUCCUGUCCAACGUUAAUCGGGGCAGGGUAAGUCGACCCCUAAGGCGAGGCCGAAAGGCGUAGUCGAUGGGAAACGGGUUAAUAUUCCCGUACUUCUUACAAUUGCGAUGGGGGGACGGAGAAGGCUAGGUGGGCCUGGCGACGGUUGUCCAGGUUCAAGUGCGUAGGCUUAAGAGUUAGGUAAAUCCGGCUCUUUUUAAGGCUGAGACACGACGUCGAGCACCUACGGGUGUGAAGUCAUUGAUGCCAUGCUUCCAGGAAAAGCCUCUAAGCUUCAGAUUGUAAGGAAUCGUACCCCAAACCGACACAGGUGGUCGGGUAGAGAAUACCAAGGCGCUUGAGAGAACUCGGGUGAAGGAACUAGGCAAAAUGGUACCGUAACUUCGGGAGAAGGUACGCUCUCGACGGUGAAGUCCCUCGCGGAUGGAGCUAUUGAGAGUCGCAGAUACCAGGUGGCUGCAACUGUUUAUUAAAAACACAGCACUGUGCAAAAUCGUAAGAUGACGUAUACGGUGUGACGCCUGCCCGGUGCCGGAAGGUUAAUUGAUGGGGUUAGACUUCGGUCGAAGCUCUUGAUCGAAGCCCCGGUAAACGGCGGCCGUAACUAUAACGGUCCUAAGGUAGCGAAAUUCCUUGUCGGGUAAGUUCCGACCUGCACGAAUGGCGUAAUGAUGGCCACGCUGUCUCCACCCGAGACUCAGUGAAAUUGAAAUCGCUGUGAAGAUGCAGUGUACCCGCGGCUAGACGGAAAGACCCCGUGAACCUUUACUACAGCUUGGCACUGAACAUUGACCCUACAUGUGUAGGAUAGGUGGGAGGCUUUGAAGCACGUACGCCAGUAUGUGUGGAGCCGUCCUUGAAAUACCACCCUUGUAGUGUUGAUGUUCUAACGUCGACCCCUUAUCGGGGUUGCGGACAGUGCCUGGUGGGUAGUUUGACUGGGGCGGUCUCCUCCCAAAGAGUAACGGAGGAGCACGAAGGUGGGCUAAUCACGGUUGGACAUCGUGAGGUUAGUGCAAUGGCAUAAGCCCGCUUGACUGCGAGAAUGACAAUUCGAGCAGGUGCGAAAGCAGGUCAUAGUGAUCCGGUGGUUCUGAAUGGAAGGGCCAUCGCUCAACGGAUAAAAGGUACUCCGGGGAUAACAGGCUGAUACCGCCCAAGAGUUCAUAUCGACGGCGGUGUUUGGCACCUCGAUGUCGGCUCAUCACAUCCUGGGGCUGAAGUCGGUCCCAAGGGUAUGGCUGUUCGCCAUUUAAAGUGGUACGCGAGCUGGGUUUAGAACGUCGUGAGACAGUUCGGUCCCUAUCUGCCGUGGGCGUUGGAAGAUUGAAGGGGGCUGCUCCUAGUACGAGAGGACCGGAGUGGACGAACCUCUGGUGUUCGGGUUGUGUCGCCAGACGCAUUGCCCGGUAGCUAAGUUCGGAAUCGAUAACCGCUGAAAGCAUCUAAGCGGGAAGCGAGCCCUGAGAUGAGUCUUCCCUGAUACUUUAAGUAUCCUAAAGGGUUGUCGGAGACUACGACGUUGAUAGGUCAGGUGUGUAAGUGCUGUGAGGCAUUGAGCUAACUGAUACUAAUUGCCCGUGAGGCUUAACCAUACAACACCCAAGGGGUUU